GCAAAAUACGUGCAGACGAGUCGAAUAUCAAAUUCUCCUUUUUAAUAGCAGUUGUUGAUAUACUGUCAAAUUUACCAGGAAUACAGAACAUGCGGGAGACCAGGUACUGAUUUAACAGCAAGUCCUGGUAGAAUCAUGGUGGCCGCAUUGAAUCGACAACUCAAGAACUGGUAGAAGCUAGGUAGCAAAUAUGAUUAAAUAACAAGAUUCGCUUGUGAACAGGUAUUCAAUUCAAACUUCUCACAAUUCAAGAAAUGAGGUGAAAUUUGGGACUGAUUUCAAGGUAUGGAAGAUUAUUCUGCUGAAACAGAAAAAAAAAAAUAUUCAAAAUAAGUUAUUUAUUUUGAGCGGAUAAUUUUGGCUGCAGACUGUCUGCAAGAGUUCCAUUGAUAGCAAGAGUGGGUAAAAAAAACUUGCCAAGACCUGUAGCUGAAUAGUCGAAGUCUCCUUUAACCUCCUACCAUCUCAAUCACCAGCUAUUUGUCUGUUUUAUCAAUUGAUAAUAGAGUAUGAUUUUGUGAUUUGGCUCCAUUCACAAAAAAAAAAAAAACACAUCGAAAUACAUCAGAGAACUUUAAAAUGUGAUUAAAUAGAAAGUAUAAGUGGGAUGAUACCAAGUUGCUGUGGCUGAUAGAUUUGGCUGAUAUGUCCUGUUAGGGUUUAUUCAGAGGAAGUUGAAAUAUUUGUGACUUUGAAAUUUAAAAAAAGAAGUGAUAAAAAAAGUGAAAUUGUGCAAAAUUUGAAAGCUGUGAUGGAUAUACCAAAAAAUAGCUCAUAAAAAAGGGAUGAGUUCAUCAAUAUAGUGCCAGAUAGAUAGUGAAAUAUUGCAGAAAGUGAAAUUGCAGAAAUACUGCAGGAUUUAUUGGGAUAUUAUCUAGUAAUAGUUCAAGAGACUGGUUUAAAUAGAAAAGUGAAGUGAAUUUGACAACCAGUUUACAUUGUGAGUGUAUAUAAAUAAAAUAAGAUGGAAAAAUUUCCACAGAAUAUGAAUAGGGAGGCUUUUCAUAUGCACUUGUGUUUUAUAUAAAAGUGUUUUUUUAAAUAAUUUCUGUGGAUUGAUGAAUCAGAAUCAGAAUUCUGGAGGCUAAUCAAUUUGUUGAUUAUUUUUUUAUCUUUAGAAAAACUCAUCUGAGUAGAUACUAGAGAGUAGAUUUUAGGAAGUAUUUGCUCAAGCAAAAGGAUAAAUGUGAGAAUUAUGCGUUACCACGGAAGCCAUGGAUAUAAUCCCUGAGGAGUGGGGCGGUAUACAUCUUCAGCCAAAUUGGUAUAAUGUGUUUACGCUUACACUAAGCAUGCAUCCUUUGAUGAACACCUGUGUACAUAUUGUGUAAACCUCUUCCAGUGCUGUGUAAAUAUUGUGUAGCUAUGUAUCACAAUUCACACGCUCGAACCUGGGACCGUCGUAAAAGUAGGUGGCUAGCAUGUUUUAUAGUAUGCUUUACAGCUUUACAUAUUGAUUUCAAUUUUAUCUUGCAGUGUGCUUUAACCCUUGCCAUGCUAAAUAUCUUAAAUGGACUUGUCCAUCCUUCUAUUUU
Long non-coding RNA from Ruditapes philippinarum (Manila clam), 1535 nucleotides. RefSeq lists it as uncharacterized. The record is from RefSeq and is a predicted model, not a curated record. Lineage: Eukaryota; Metazoa; Mollusca; Bivalvia; Venerida; Veneridae. The transcript is spliced from 6 exons.